Molecule: non-coding RNA, 2550 nt
Organism: Xyrichtys novacula (pearly razorfish)
Lineage: Eukaryota; Metazoa; Chordata; Actinopteri; Labriformes; Labridae
Source: the annotation of a GenBank genome assembly
GGAUUGAAUAGGAAAUAAGAAGGGGAGGAAGGUAGAAGGAAAAUGAACAGAAGAGAGAAGCUAAGACGAGAACAGGAGAUGAGAAGAGAAUAGAGGUGUGAAGAGAAGCAGAGACAAGAAGGGAGCAGAGAGGGGAAGAGGAAACAAGAUGAAGGGGUAUUGUUAAAAGCAGAAAGAAAAACAGGUAGCAGGGAACAAGGAGGCGAGAAGAACAAGAGGGAAAACAGAUGGAGUCAUAACAAAAGGAGAGCAGGGGAACAAAGAGAAGAGAAAGAAAAGAACGAGAGAGACGAUACAGGAGAGGAACCAAACCAGCCGGAUAUUCUACCCUACAUCUACAGCCCUGCAUUCUGGAUAAUAAAGAGGAGCAGGUGGGCGAAUAGAUUCUGUCACAGUCUACAAGGCGUGAGGACACUGGCACUGUGCAUGUGUGUGCGUGUGCGUGUGUGUGUGCGUAGGUGUGGGUUAAUGCACACAGGAAUACACACAGACAGCAAGCAUGUCAACAGAUCUGCCAGUUUAAUGACAUCACUACAGACUAAGUGUUUGUUCCUGAAUGUGUGUGUUUGUGUGUGUGUGUGCUUGAGUUUGUGUGAGUUUGUGUGUGCACCUCUAUCCUCUUUAGACUGACUCAGGGAUCAGACUACAGAGGUCUAAGUAAUUAUCUCCUAAGCAGAGUCCCAAGUACAUAACUGUUUUCCUGAACACAGUUAGGCUGCUUACAAGUGAUCAGCGGUAAAACUGCUCUGCGCUGGCUCUGCUAAUCUUUCCCUUUGGGAAAACAGGGGCCAUCCAACUGGAAGGCAGUGUGGUGUUCAACAGAAAAUUGCUUUCCAUCGAUCAUUUCAACCUUGACCUCAUCUGCAUCUGACCUUUGACGGCACAGCCAAUAAGAUAACCACAUGCAGACGUGUGCUGUGUGUGACUAGGUGACUGUUGCAGGACUUUGUUCAAUCUUAAUUUUGUAAAACAUAUAUGUGAAAGCUCCUCUGAGGAAACUUGUUUUUGUCUUGACUAUGGUGCUCCUGGUGGAUAAAGUUAGCCCCUCUUCAUCUUUACUUAUCUAAUCCCUAAAAAUGUGUAAAAUUUUGUUUUCCAACUUAAAGUUAAAGCUGUGGGAUCAAUUAGAUUUUAAUCAUGAUUAUGAAUCUGGCCCAACACCACCGUAAAAAUACAAUAAUCAAGACUGAAUACAGCCUUUAGGAUUUUUCUGUUUAAUUUUCCUGUGAUCUGUUCCCAGUUUACUAAAAAACAAAAAAGACAAACCUCUUGUUUUCUAGAUUUUUAACAUAAGACGCGCUGCUUAUGCAUCUGCACAUUGAAAUAAAAUCCAAGCUGCUCUGCAGCUGUCACGCAGAAUGAAUCCUCUGUAGAGCCAGCCAUGCUCCUUAGUGAGCUCCAAGGGCAUUGAGAUUGAAACCGAUAGGAGUUAAAACUUUUCUGGGCAACUUGAACUUACAUAGCUGGUGUUGGCUUGUUCAACAAAAGUAUGAAGACAACUCAAAUGUCCUUUAUGAUCGAUGAUCAUAAAGUGGUGUUGUUCAAAACUUUAUUGCAGCAGAGUUAUGUUGUAUCUGAUGUCUAGGCUUUAAACAUCAUCACUCUAUGCAGAUCAGUUACACAUAAAGAAAACACAAAGUGACGAGAUGAUAUCUAAAACCCUGCAAGUAAACACUGGAAGGUGGUGGGACUGAAAGUUUGAUUGCUGCACGGAUGCAGGACAGCAGGGGAACUGUCGAAAAGAAGGCAGAGACAGAAAAUCUUGCAGCUCAAAUGCUCUGAUGAAAUGGGAAGAUACAUUUGUCGGACGAUUGUGACAUUAAUGUAAGGCAAGUGAAAAAUUUGUGUAGUUUUUAGGGCCUGUCUGAAAUAGCUUACAAACAUAGCUCUAUUGAUCUGACCAGAUCUAGUAAGGACGCUGCAGACCUGCAAAAUUAUUGCACUAAGCAAGUCUAUAAUUUUGAAAAGAAUCAUUGUUUUUGCACUUAAUAUUAAGUGUAAUAUACACAUCUCAGUAUUUUUUUUUCUUUUUUUUCCCCCCAGAUAAGAUCAAGAGGAUAUUUUUUUUUUCUUUCAAAGUUUUGUUUUUAUCCUUUCAACUGCCGCUGUCUUUUCCUUUCACCCCUAUUUCUAGGUCGUUCCAGGCAACACACUGCCUGCCACCAUCUCCCUCAUACCACCGUCUCUGCGUCUGCCUGUGCCUGCCCACAGAGGCAGCAGAUAAAGAGUUGGCCUCUGUGGAUAGAGAUGGAACGCACUGCAGAGAAUAUCUCUUCACCGCUCAGCCAAACGCCAGCUCGCCCCUCCACAUUCCCUUUCCCACAAUCAAGCUCCCUUUCCAUCUCUUUCACAGUCUCACUGUCUGUCUAUCAAGUGUUCCCAAUGUAUGCUCUUCAACAAUAAUCACACGCACUGAGCUGUGUGUGGACUGUUCACAAACUCCAAAAGAGCUCUAAAAGCUCCUGUGAGACAAAGAGAGAGGAAAUGUGUGAAGGACAGACUGCUAACGGCUACAAAAAUUCAGCUAACUGGAACAUGGACAAACCUGCA